AGUUGUUGGGAACAGCGAAGAGGGUCAAUGUUAACUUCCAGGACACAGAUGGGUUGUCUCCUCUCCACCAUGCUGCUCUGAGCGGCAACAAGGAGCUGAUUUCUCUGCUGCUGGAAGCUCAGGCCACAGUGGACAUUAAGGACCAGAACGGGAUGCGUCCACUGCACUACGCGGCGUGGCAGGGGAAGACUGAGCCAAUGAAAAUGCUCCUGAAGGCGGGAUCAUCAGUCAACAUCCAAUCAGACGAGGGCCAGAUCCCCCUGCACCUAUCAGCACAGCACGGACAUUACGACGGGUCUGAGAUGUUGCUCCAGCACCAGUCUAACCCGUGUAU
This is a long non-coding RNA of Coregonus clupeaformis (lake whitefish), 334 nucleotides long. RefSeq lists it as uncharacterized. The record is from RefSeq and is a predicted model, not a curated record. Lineage: Eukaryota; Metazoa; Chordata; Actinopteri; Salmoniformes; Salmonidae. The transcript is spliced from 4 exons.